RNAcentral lists this ribosomal RNA (406 nucleotides) under uncultured bacterium. Its description in RNAcentral is "partial 16S ribosomal RNA". It matches the Rfam family "Bacterial small subunit ribosomal RNA", at positions 30 to 526 of the family's 1533-position model. The record is from RNAcentral.
AUUGAACGCUGGCGGCAGGCCUAAUACAUGCAAGUCGAGCGAGCGGCGGACGGGUGAGUAAUGGAUGGGGAUCUGCCUGAUGGAGGGGGAUAACUACUGGAAACGGUGGCUAAUACCGCAUACUCUCGGAGGAACCCAUAUGGGAUUAGCUAGUAGGUGGGGUAAAGGCGCACCUAGGCGACGAUCUAUAGCUGGUCUGAGAGGAUGAUCAGCCACACUGGGACUGAGACACGGCCCAGACUCCUACGGGAGGCAGCAGUGGGGAAUAUUGCGCAAUGGGGGCAACCCUGACGCAGCCAUGCCGCGUGAAUGAAGAAGGCCUUCGGGUUGUAAAGUUCUUUCGGUAGCGAGGCGUUAACUACAGAAGAAGCACCGGCUAACUCCGUGCCAGCAGCCGCGGUAAUUC